AUGAAUAACAACAGGGCCCCUGGUCCUGACAACAUUCCAGCGGAAUUUUAUCAACACUAUUGGGAGAUUGUGAAGGGUGAUAUUAUGAGACUUUUUGAGGCCAUGUAUGAGGGUACACUCGAUGUUCAAAGGUUAAACUACGGGAUCAUUACUUUGAUUCCUAAGAUCAAUGGUGCGAACAAAAUCCAACAGUUUAGGCCUAUUUGCUUGCUUAGAUGCCCAUAUAAGUUGAUCACAAAGGUGUUAGACAACAGAGCAGCCCCUUAUGUUGACAUCCUGUUUAGCAAACACCAAAAUGCCUUUAUUAAACACAGGAGUAUCAUGGAUGGGGUUCUCACUUUGCAUGAGAUUUUGCACCAUACUCAUGUUAAGAAGAGAGUUGGCAUCAUUAUCAAGCUUGAUUUUGAAAAAGCUUACGAUAAGGUGAAUUGGGAUUUCUUGCUUAAGUGUCUAGAGAUCAGAGGCUUUGGCAAGACUUGGUGCAGUUGGAUGGAGAAAAUCCUCCACAAUGGCACGGUUAGUGUGAAGUUAAAUAAUACCUCGGGGCCUUACUUCCAAAGCCACAAAGGGGUGCGGCAAGGGGAUCCGGUGUCCCCUUUCUUGUUCAAUAUUGCUGCCGAGUGCUUGUGUAAGAUGGUAUUGCAAGCACAAGCAAACGGGUUGAUUGAUGGGUUGGCCUCGGAUUUGGUAGAUAAGGGAGUGGCCAUUCUGCAAUAUGCAGAUGACACAAUCCUGUGCAUUGAACAUAACCCUGAAAAAGCGCUCAACCUGAAACUGUUGUUGUAUAUGUUCGAACUCAUGUCAGGACUGAAAAUUAACUUUUAA
This 825-nucleotide ribosomal RNA is filed under the name Triticum aestivum (bread wheat). RNAcentral's name for it is "partial small subunit ribosomal RNA". Lineage: Eukaryota; Viridiplantae; Streptophyta; Magnoliopsida; Poales; Poaceae. The record is from RNAcentral.